RNAcentral lists this transfer RNA (66 nucleotides) under Ctenocephalides canis (dog flea). RNAcentral describes it as "tRNA-Ser". The record is from RNAcentral. Lineage: Eukaryota; Metazoa; Arthropoda; Insecta; Siphonaptera; Pulicidae.
AGUUAAUGAGCUUGAUAUUAAGCAUAUAUUUUGAAAAUAUAAGAUAGAAUUAAAUUCUAUUAACUU